This is a long non-coding RNA of Rattus norvegicus (Norway rat), 1784 nucleotides long. RefSeq lists it as uncharacterized. The record is from RefSeq and is a predicted model, not a curated record. Lineage: Eukaryota; Metazoa; Chordata; Mammalia; Rodentia; Muridae.
AGUUGAGGUCAUAUAGAAACCUACUACAGUAGAAUUGCCUUAAAAUAUAAAUAUGUAUGAAAGAAAUCUAAAUGGAAUCAAUAGCAGAGGUGGGAGAGAUGGAAUUCUAACUAACCGUUACCACGUGAGACAGGCAGUGCCGGAAAUGGGUUACAACUGAUCAAAUUGUUAGCCAAAUGGGUCUUGUGGGAACCUAUAACAACCCAAUAUAUUCUCAGUGCUAUUGAUCACAUUCCAUAAGCGAUAAUAAGGCCCCAUUGCUGAAGACAACACCCAGGCAACUCACUGAGAAUGGAAAAGUCAAGCUGAUGCCAGUUUAGAGCCGUCACUCCUACCGAUCAGUGUUCGUGGUACUAGAAUGUAUUCUGCUUGUUACCAGAGAAACCAGGUGUGGACCAAGAAUUACAUUGAGAGAACUAUUGGCCUGGCCUUUUCCUAGUGAAGAUGCUCCAUCUCACCCUGCAGCUAUGAUGGUGACCACAUCUGCUACAGGACAACCCUUGCCUGCCACAGGACUGACUGUCUAUGUAAAAGCUUAACCACUGAGACCAAUGCCUUUCCUACUUGCCUUUCAUGAGUUUUCUCUCUCUGUUUUUCCUCUAGGAUAAUGGUAUUACCCUACAUAUAUCAAAUACAUGAGAAAGUACAGAAUUUUCUAAGACAGUGUCACAUUGCCAUGAGAACUGGAAUAUUCUAGACUUAUCCAUAGUCCUUGUUCUAAAACGAGAUGUGAGAAUCACUUGGAGGCCUUGUUGAAAUAGAUUGCUGACCUCAUCUUCACUUUCAGAGUUUGGGUUCACUCCAGAUGCUUAGAGAUCCAAGAGUUUCCAGCACAUUCUCAUGUUGUGUGGGACCAAUCUUUUAAGGUGUCUGGAACUGAGGGAAUUGCCCUACCAAUGUCCAAGCUGCACAGAAUGCCUCCUCACCCGCUCCGUCGUACAUUUUCCUGCAGCAAUCAGCACUCGGCAUUUUUUCUGUAACUCCUCACUCUUGAGCAUCACUUAAUAACCAGAGGGCACGCUUCAGCCCAGCUUUAUGACUUAUCAUCUUAUCGCAUCUUCUUCUUCUGUGGUAUACUUCUGGGAUGGGACACAGUGAUUGAUUCUCUUGAGAUGAUGUGCUGUGUGCAACUUUGUGUCUGAGAAAGGUGGUUCAGUCCUUCUGAGGUAGACUCAGUUACGUGAACUUGACGACUGCUCACUGAACUGGGUUUGCCUGUCUAAGUAUUUCAGUAAAUGGAGGCCCAUGACUCUUAUUCUAGGUUCAGUCACUGUAAAGACCAGGUGGCACUAGAGAGAUUCUAAGUCUGGCUUGGGACCUAAAGCCUUUGCUGCCUCAGUGUGUACUGCUGUAUGAAAACUACACACUGCUCCACUUUUUUUUUUUAAGAAAAUCUCCUUGCAUAGUCUUGAGACAGCCUAAUAAAGUCACUUUCUUUACCACGGGGACUGUGGAUGAAGAUCCCUGCAGCAGGUGUGAUCUCCCUGAGGAUAGUGGCUUUUGACAGUUUUGAGCUGCAUCCUAGGCCCUUGUCAUUUGUUAAAAUAAGUAACUACUGGCUACAUGUAACUUGGAGACUGUGUUGGCUGGGACUUGAAGACAGACGUCAGUUACAUCUUGAAAGAUAUUUAGAGAAUAACUUUGAAGUGUGGGAAGCAACUAGACUCUUAGCUAUCUUUGUCAUUAUGCUUUUAAAAUAUUUGAAACACACUGUUUGUUUGGAGAUGUCAUAGUGAAACCCAUUAUUCUGUGUAAUUAAUAAAUACAAAGAAAAUUAUUUGAAA